This is a long non-coding RNA of Eurytemora carolleeae, 239 nucleotides long. RefSeq lists it as uncharacterized. The transcript is spliced from 3 exons. NCBI's taxonomy places the organism in Eukaryota, Metazoa, Arthropoda, Copepoda, Calanoida, Temoridae. The record is from RefSeq and is a predicted model, not a curated record.
CGUGCCCGUAUUCGUAAUUUCGUAGUUAGAACUGGGCUCUGGCAAGUUUAACAUGUUUUAAACAAAAGUUAGUAAUCAUGCGAGAACAAAUUAAAAAGGCUUUGGGCCUGCUGUUGGUCCAAAUAUAUUUUUGCACUGACCCUGUAUACGCCCAGUUCAUCCUGACUCCGCCCUACUUUAAUAUUGCAGAAAACAGACCUAUAACUGCGAAUGCUACCUGUUUAGACCUAUAACUGCGA